This 788-nucleotide ribosomal RNA is filed under the name uncultured bacterium. RNAcentral describes it as "bacterial SSU rRNA". It matches the Rfam family "Bacterial small subunit ribosomal RNA", at positions 717 to 1504 of the family's 1533-position model. The record is from RNAcentral.
GAAGGCGGCCCCCUGGACAGAUACUGACACUCAGAUGCGAAAGCGUGGGGAGCAAACAGGAUUAGAUACCCUGGUAGUCCACGUCGUAAACGAUGUCUACUUGGAGGUUGUGGCCUUGAGCCGUGGCUUUCGGAGCUAACGCGUUAAGUAGACCGCCUGGGGAGUACGGUCGCAAGAUUAAAACUCAAAUGAAUUGACGGGGGCCCGCACAAGCGGUGGAGCAUGUGGUUUAAUUCGAUGCAACGCGAAGAACCUUACCUACUCUUGACAUCCAGAGAACUUUCCAGAGAUGGAUUGGUGCCUUCGGGAACUCUGAGACAGGUGCUGCAUGGCUGUCGUCAGCUCGUGUUGUGAAAUGUUGGGUUAAGUCCCGCAACGAGCGCAACCCUUAUCCUUGUUUGCCAGCGAGUAAUGUCGGGAACUCCAGGGAGACUGCCGGUGAUAAACCGGAGGAAGGUGGGGACGACGUCAAGUCAUCAUGGCCCUUACGAGUAGGGCUACACACGUGCUACAAUGGCGCAUACAGAGGGCAGCCAACUUGCGAGAGUGAGCGAAUCCCAAAAAGUGCGUCGUAGUCCGGAUCGGAGUCUGCAACUCGACUCCGUGAAGUCGGAAUCGCUAGUAAUCGUGGAUCAGAAUGCCACGGUGAAUACGUUCCCGGGCCUUGUACACACCGCCCGUCACACCAUGGGAGUGGGCUGCAAAAGAAGUAGGUAGUUUAACCUUCGGGAGGACGCUUACCACUUUGUGGUUCAUGACUGGGGUGAAGUCGUAACAAGGUAACCGUA